UGGAUUGUAGUUUAAUCGGAUAAAACUUCGCUCUGUGAAUGCGAAAACUGCGAGUUCAAUUCUCGUCAAUCCACCCA
Molecule: transfer RNA, 77 nt
Filed under: Pyrinomonadaceae bacterium
Lineage: Bacteria; Pseudomonadati; Acidobacteriota; Blastocatellia; Blastocatellales; Pyrinomonadaceae
Description: tRNA-His
Rfam family: tRNA
About the family: Transfer RNA (tRNA) molecules are approximately 80 nucleotides in length. Their secondary structure includes four short double-helical elements and three loops (D, anti-codon, and T loops). Further hydrogen bonds mediate the characteristic L-shaped molecular structure. tRNAs have two regions of fundamental functional importance: the anti-codon, which is responsible for specific mRNA codon recognition, and the 3' end, to which the tRNAs corresponding amino acid is attached (by aminoacyl-tRNA synthetases). tRNAs cope with the degeneracy of the genetic code in two manners: having more than one tRNA (with a specific anti-codon) for a particular amino acid; and 'wobble' base-pairing, i.e. permitting non-standard base-pairing at the 3rd anti-codon position.
Source: RNAcentral